CGCGCAGGCGGUCUCUUAAGUCUGAUGUGAAAGCCCCCGGCUCAACCGGGGAGGGUCAUUGGAAACUGGGAGACUUGAGUGCAGGAGAGGGAAGCGGAAUUCCAUGUGUAGCGGUGAAAUGCGUAGAGAUAUGGAGGAACACCAGUGGCGAAGGCGGCUUCCUGGCCUGUAACUGACGCUGAGGCGCGAAAGCGUGGGGAGCAAACAGGAUUAGAUACCCUGGUAGUCCACGCCGUAAACGAUGAGUGCUAGGUGUUAGGGGGUUUCCGCCCCUUAGUGCUGCAGCUAACGCAUUAAGCACUCCGCCUGGGGAGUACGGUCGCAAGACUGAA
Molecule: ribosomal RNA, 332 nt
Filed under: uncultured Bacillus sp.
Lineage: Bacteria; Bacillati; Bacillota; Bacilli; Caryophanales; Bacillaceae
Description: bacterial SSU rRNA
Rfam family: Bacterial small subunit ribosomal RNA
Source: RNAcentral